This 231-nucleotide long non-coding RNA is filed under the name Physcomitrium patens. RNAcentral describes it as "long non-coding RNA (PPAT_LNC013774)". The record is from RNAcentral. Lineage: Eukaryota; Viridiplantae; Streptophyta; Bryopsida; Funariales; Funariaceae.
UGACUAAGUUUUAUUUAGGAUUUGACUAGGAUUUAUUUGGAAUUUUAUCAAGAUUAAAUUAGGUUUUAUUUAAGAUUUGAUUAGAAUUUGGUUAGGAUUUAUUAAGGUUUGAUUAGGAUUCAAUUAAAAUUUGAUUAGGAUUUGAUUAGGAUUUGAUCAAGAUUUGACCAAGAUUUGAUUAGGAUUCAAUUAAAAUUUGAUUAGGAUUUGAUUAGGGUUUGAUCAAGAUUU